Molecule: long non-coding RNA, 965 nt
Organism: Helicoverpa armigera (cotton bollworm)
Lineage: Eukaryota; Metazoa; Arthropoda; Insecta; Lepidoptera; Noctuidae
Exons: 2
Source: RefSeq, a predicted model, not a curated record
UUUAUAUUACUACAUUGUUUUUACAUAGAUUUUUAAUCUCGUUUCAUUUUCAAACUGAGUUUUCAAAUAAAUGAACUUUAAUAGGUAUUCCUUUUUAAUUUGAUAUUCAUAUGUGCGCGCCAUUUUGUUUUUUUUGCAUUUAGUAAUUUCCUCGAUGAGGUGGGAUGAAAAGUUAUGUGUUGCACUCGAGUGCAAAGAUUUUUCACCUUGUGCUCUUUUGAUUCCCUCGCUAUCGCUCAGGAUUCUAAUUAUUGAAACACUCGCUACGCUCGUGUUUCAAUUUUAGAAUCCUUCGCUUUCUCGGUCAUCAAAAUUGAGCCCGCGGUUAAAAAGCAACUUUGCACUCUUGUAUAACAAAUAACUAUUAUAGUGGCCUAUUUUUGUGCCUGGUAUAAAUUCUAUAGUACCAACUAAGAAAUAAUAAUUAUCCUUAAUGCUAAUAGUAAUCGGCAAUUCAGUGAGUAAAACUGAGUCUGCAGCUCCGUUUAAAUCAAAUGUUAUGAUCUCGCCUAGCUUAAGUUCACCUUUCAACUCUGUGUCACAUUUUUGACACAUUGUGUUAACACAAAGAAAUUUUAAUCUAUUUGUGACUUUGAUUUUUAUAAAGUAUGCACUCUCCCUAAAAAAAUAAGACGUGAAUAACGAAAAUUUCGAAUAUGUGAAAAUGCAUGGACACCCUACUCUCAUACAGUUUCAUACCACUGUGUUUUAGUAAAUAUCUCCUAAAAUACGAAUGCUGCAGUUAAAUUCGCUAUAUUUAUUCAAACUAGGUUACGUUACCCAUCGACUAGUACUUUAAUUAAGCUAAAACCUACUUUUAAUAACGAGAAAAACGAAAUUGUAUUUUAGGCAUAUUGCCGUCCGCGCGGCCAACUAAAAUCGACUCUAACAUAUUAUUGAACCUGCUUUCUAGUAUUUUUUUGUCUUUUUUCGCUGUAACAAAUUAAAGACUAAUUUUCUAUACA